RNAcentral lists this ribosomal RNA (252 nucleotides) under uncultured bacterium. RNAcentral describes it as "partial 16S ribosomal RNA". It matches the Rfam family "Bacterial small subunit ribosomal RNA", at positions 524 to 776 of the family's 1533-position model. The record is from RNAcentral.
UACGUAGGGUGCGAGCGUUGUCCGGAAUUACUGGGCGUAAAGAGCUCGUAGGUGGUUUGUCGCGUUGUUCGUGAAAACUCACAGCUCAACUGUGGGCGUGCGGCGAUACGGGCAGACUGGAGUACUGCAGGGGAGACUGGAAUUCCUGGUGUAGCGGUGGAAUGCGCAGAUAUCAGGAGGAACACCGGUGGCGAAGGCGGGUCUCUGGGCAGUAACUGACGCUGAGGAGCGAAAGCGUGGGGAGCGAACAGG